GCGGAUUUAGCUCAGUUGGGAGAGCGCCAGACUGAAGUCUCAUCUGGAGGUCCUGUGUUCGAUCCACAGAAUUCGCA
This 77-nucleotide transfer RNA is filed under the name Yarrowia sp. B02. RNAcentral describes it as "tRNA-Phe". It matches the Rfam family "tRNA". From Rfam's summary of the family: Transfer RNA (tRNA) molecules are approximately 80 nucleotides in length. Their secondary structure includes four short double-helical elements and three loops (D, anti-codon, and T loops). Further hydrogen bonds mediate the characteristic L-shaped molecular structure. tRNAs have two regions of fundamental functional importance: the anti-codon, which is responsible for specific mRNA codon recognition, and the 3' end, to which the tRNAs corresponding amino acid is attached (by aminoacyl-tRNA synthetases). tRNAs cope with the degeneracy of the genetic code in two manners: having more than one tRNA (with a specific anti-codon) for a particular amino acid; and 'wobble' base-pairing, i.e. permitting non-standard base-pairing at the 3rd anti-codon position. Lineage: Eukaryota; Fungi; Ascomycota; Dipodascomycetes; Dipodascales. The record is from RNAcentral.